This 23-nucleotide non-coding RNA is filed under the name Cricetulus griseus (Chinese hamster). The record is from RNAcentral. Lineage: Eukaryota; Metazoa; Chordata; Mammalia; Rodentia; Cricetidae.
UAACUGCAGUCCUCAGUAUGUGG